Molecule: long non-coding RNA, 2400 nt
Filed under: Daucus carota (carrot)
Lineage: Eukaryota; Viridiplantae; Streptophyta; Magnoliopsida; Apiales; Apiaceae
Description: long non-coding RNA (DCAR_LNC005301)
Source: RNAcentral
UAGUCUGUACUCCGCAGCUUGCAUCUCUUUCAGAUACCUCAUUUUCUGCAAAUUAAAUAAACAUAGAUUACCAGCACCAAAAGUCCCCCAGAUCUUCACGAAAACACCUAGGACACAAAUAUAAUUAGAAUACCUAAGAUUACCUAAUUAAUUCAAUUAAUGCCAGACCAGUAUUUUUUAAAUCACGCUUGACCGUGGCCAAAUCAUUAAAUUUGAGGAAACAUGCAAAUCAAACAGACUAAUACAGAGAUUAAAGUUGAAGGUUCUCAGCCACAAAGUAAAAGAUUUAUAAUUAAAGCUUCUGCAGAUCAACAAUAACAAAUAACACAUCUUUUAUUUAGCUGUCGCACUCUGCUUAGUUGAUAACAUGACAUUCAUGUCAUGUUAUCAGACAUAGAAGAGACAAAGCAUGUUGACUAACAUGAAAUCGUAUAAAUUUACAAUUGUACCAUCAUAAGGGAAUGAGACCAAAUGUAAAAGAUAUAGGAAAUAAUUGGUGACUUCCCCAACAACCUAUUUUACAUACCAGUGUGUAAUAUUAUGAUCAGGUGAAAGCUUGUAUAUAACUUUUCUUGUAUGGAAACAAUUUGUUCCCCCGUACAUUGGCCCUUGAAUUCCUGCCAGUCCAUGACCUAUAAACUAUACAGUUUAUGCAAAAAUAAUUAAUAAUUUAAGUCCAGGUGAAGGCAUGUGUGUAUGAGAGCUUAUAUUCUUGUAAUUGACCAUAAUGCAAAUAAUGCAAAAAAGAGUAUAAGAAAUAAAUGAUCCGAGUUUCCGAUCACUAAGAACUCCCGCCCACCCUCACACACAUAAAAAAAACACAGGGACUAAAAUCCAAACAAAUAGAUAAAACGUCAUAUUUAAAACUCUUCAUACAUUAUAUCCAUCCAUCCAAAAUCGAUAAAACGUCAUGUUUUAAACCUCCAAAAUGGGAAAUACACAUUACUGUCAAGUACACACACAUACAUUAUAUCCAUCCAAAAUCGAAGCCAAUUUUGCUUACAUUCAUAUUCAAAUAUACACACAUUGCACCCUGGCAAAACUGACGUCAUUAUUGGCAAGACUCGAACAAAAACCCCCUAUGUAGGUACUGAAAAUAAGUGAUUAAAAAUUUUGCAUAUAUUUGUUAAUACACUAUAUUACUCACAAAUAGUGUGUUUAUCUAAACUCGUGCAUUGUCAAAUCUAUUGAUUUGCUACAAAUCAGAAUGAUAUAGGGAAGUAGAGUUGAUUUUGGAACCAAAGGGCGUAGAGCACCAUUUACAAAGAUUCUGUCAUGAUAUAUAUAUAUUCUUCAAAUUUAUAUAUAUAUAUAUAUAUGUGUGUGUGUGUGUGUGUGUGUGUGUGUGUGUGUGUGUGUGUGUGUGUGUGUCAGCAUUGUUUGCAAGAUAAAAAAAAGCUUAAAAAAAGCUAAUAUUUCGAUUGGAAGUUUAAAAAAAGCUUGCAAUCAUCACACUAAUAAUGAGAUGCAUUACAAUAUGUCAAAAAACUUGCCUUUGAAGAAUCCCUCCACUUAUCACUUAUUGUGGCUCCAUUACUACAACCUGGAAAAUAGCAAUGCAGUGUAAAUGUGUAAUAUAAAAUAACAAUCAUAACUAAUCUACUACAUAAAUCUAUAUAUACUUGGACAAUAUUCUCAUAUGAAGACUGAAUCGUUAAUACAAAUUUCAAAAUCAUACAAAAACACACUAAUAUAAUGAAAAAUCAUAUCAAAUCAUUCCACAAUUAUAUAUAACUAAAAUAAAUCUAAAGAUCAAUAUCAUAUCAAGCUCUUAUAUCAAAUACUUGAUGAGUAAACUAUCCUCGCAAAACAUUAAAUUUGCAAAAAGACAGAAACUUGUGUUUGGACUUCUAUCAAACACUUCCCGUGCUAAUAAAAUUAAGAGAUUCACCUAAAAGUUCCACAAAUAUAGAAAUGGGGAAAGACAUUGAGGAGAAGAAUAUACCUUCUCAUGAUUGCAAAAGAGGCUGACAAUCACUAAAUUAAUCCAUAGAAGUAGCGGUAAUCUCUUCUUUCCCGAUAAUGAGAUCGCUACAAAGCCCAUGAAAGUGUGUUAACGAAUGUGUGUUAAAAGAAGCCGUCAACCAUUUGUAAUUAGCUGGAGUACUUCAGCGCGAAUUUGAAUUCAUUUGAAUUUGAAUUCAUUUGGACAAUCAAAUAUGCACUGAAGCAGAAAGAAUUGCAGGCGAAUCCUGAUUGCCAGUGAGAAAUUUGUCUGUAACCAUGAUUAUUUGGUAAGUUGUGCACAGUUAGUCUUUUUCCGGGAAAAAAACAAAGGAGAGAGCAAAAUGGGUUUGAAGAGUAUGGUCUCAGCGGAAGGUGCUGGAAGACCAAGAACAUGUGUAAUGUUAGGUCAUUUGAGGAAAGUUAAGACACGUCAUGUGGAAACAAAGAAAGAUG